RNAcentral lists this ribosomal RNA (476 nucleotides) under uncultured bacterium. RNAcentral's name for it is "partial 16S ribosomal RNA". It matches the Rfam family "Bacterial small subunit ribosomal RNA", at positions 28 to 523 of the family's 1533-position model. The record is from RNAcentral.
GACGAACGCUGGCGGCGUGCUUCAUACAUGCAAGUCGAACGAGAAGCAGGAGCUUGCUCCUGUGGAAAGUGGCGGACGGGUGAGUAACACGUAGGAAAUCUGCCUUUGGGUGGGGGACAACAGUUGGAAACGACUGCUAAUACCCCAUAUGAGCUUGGUUGCGAUACCAAUCUUGAAAACUCCGGUGCCUAAAGAUGAGCCUGCGUCUGAUUAGCUUGUUGGCGGGGUAAUGGCCCACCAAGGCGACGAUCAGUAGCUGGUUUGAGAGGAUGAUCAGCCACAAUGGGACUGAGACACGGCCCAUACUCCUACGGGAGGCAGCAUUGGGGAAUCUUGCGCAAUGGGCGAAAGCCUGACGCAGCAAUGCCGCGUGAGGGAAGACGGCCUUAGGGUUGUAAACCUCUUUCAGCAGGGACGAACACAGACGGUACCUGCAGAAGAAGCCCCGGCUAACUACGUGCCAGCCGCCGCCGUAA